RNAcentral lists this ribosomal RNA (888 nucleotides) under Sedimentibacter sp. enrichment culture clone B4152. RNAcentral's name for it is "bacterial SSU rRNA". It matches the Rfam family "Bacterial small subunit ribosomal RNA", at positions 8 to 916 of the family's 1533-position model. The record is from RNAcentral. Lineage: Bacteria; Bacillati; Bacillota; Tissierellia.
AGAGUUUGAUCAUGGCUCAGGACGAACGCUGGCGGCGUGCCUAACACAUGCAAGUCGAACGAAGUAUAUUUUCGGAUAUGCUUAGUGGCGGACGGGUGAGUAACGCGUGAACAAUCUGCCCUGUACACAGGAAUAGCCUCGGGAAACUGGGAUUAAAACCGGAUAACACUUUCUGGCCGCAUGGCCGGGAAGUCAAAUUGAUUUAGAGGUACAGGAUGAGUUCGCGUCUGAUUAGCUAGUUGGUGAGGUAACGGCUCACCAAGGCGACGAUCAGUAGCCGGCCUGAGAGGGUGAACGGCCACACUGGAACUGAGACACGGUCCAGACUCCUACGGGAGGCAGCAGUGGGGAAUAUUGCACAAUGGAGGAAACUCUGAUGCAGCGACGCCGCGUGAGUGAAGAAGGUCUUCGGAUCGUAAAACUCUGUCCUUGGUGACGAAAAAAAUGACGGUAGCCAAGGAGGAAGCCCCGGCUAACUACGUGCCAGCAGCCGCGGUAAUACGUAGGGGGCGAGCGUUGUCCGGAUUUACUGGGCGUAAAGGGUGAGUAGGCGGUAAUAUGUGUCAGAUGUAAAAGGCUAUGGCUUAACCAUAGUUGGCAUUUGAAACUGUAUUACUUGAGUGCAGGAGAGGUAAGUGGAAUUCCUAGUGUAGCGGUGAAGUGCGUAGAUAUUAGGAGGAACACCAGUGGCGAAGGCGACUUACUGGACUGUAACUGACGCUGAGUCACGAAAGCGUGGGUAGCAAACAGGAUUAGAUACCCUGGUAGUCCACGCUGUAAACGAUGAGUGCUAGGUGUUGGGUAGCGAUAUUCAGUGCCGAAGUAAACACAAUAAGCACUCCGCCUGGGGAGUACGGUCGCAAGACUGAAACUCAAAUGAAUUGACGG